UUUUGGCUUAUGUGGUUGGCCUCUGGUCCUCCCACACUGGAUGCAUCCCAGCUCCUCACAAUCAGCAGCAGGAAAGAGAUUGUUCAAGGUUGUUACCAUCAACACUCUUCGUCCAUUGCUUAAACCACCAGCUAUGUACAACCAGAAGUACAGCAAGGCUUCCUUCCUACCUACUUCUCCAGCCUUCCCCACCCCACCCCAUCACUCCAUUUUCCAUUCUCCUUUCUUUCCUUCCCUUUACCCUUUGCCACAUUCAUGCAUUGUUUUGCCAUCUAGCAACAAGAAAUCAUUUGAAAUCUCCUAAACAAAGCAUGCUUUGGAAAUUGUAUCUCUGAAUCAUUUCAUAUCUUAUUCCCUCCACCUGAAAUAUUUCAUGAAUGACAUGUGCAUGGAAACUCCUAUUUAUUCCUAAAAACCAAGCUUUACUGUCCCUGUCUGUAUGACACUUUCCUGUGCCUUCAACCCUCCACUUUGCUCUUUCACACGUCAGUCUAAAUUAAUCACUCCUGCCUGUCUGCUGCCGCUCAGUUCUGUUCUUGCACCUUUCCCACUUGAUUACAAUUACUUGUUUGGAUUUCUAUCUCUCUUCUAUAUUAUAACUUGCCAGAAGAAAGGGAGUGCAUUUUACUCCUUUUUCUAACUGCAACACUCAGCACAGUAGCUGGAACAUUACAAGUGCCCAAUAAAAACUUGGUGAGUUGAAGGCAACCCUGAGACUACUGGAAACGUUGCACAGAUUCAAGUUGUCCUAAGGCCAGCUUGAGUUGUCUCCAUUUUUCAGUUAGAAUUGACUGGCUCAAUAACAGAAAUCAUGUUUUGUUUUCUUGCUUUCCUAGCAUCAAGCAUAACUCCCAUGGUUACUCACAUGAUUGUUAAAUGAAUAAAGAUGAUUCAGAGUUAUGGGGUGUGCUAUAACUAUUUUUUUAAAGUACAUACUUAUUUAUUUAUGGCUUAU
RNAcentral lists this long non-coding RNA (955 nucleotides) under Marmota monax (woodchuck). The record is from RNAcentral. Lineage: Eukaryota; Metazoa; Chordata; Mammalia; Rodentia; Sciuridae.